AUGCAAGUCGAGCGGACAGAAGGGAGCUUGCUCCCGGAUGUUAGCGGCGGACGGGUGAGUAACACGUGGGUAACCUGCCUGUAAGACUGGGAUAACUCCGGGAAACCGGAGCUAAUACCGGAUAGUUCCUUGAACCGCAUGGUUCAAGGAUGAAAGACGGUUUCGGCUGUCACUUACAGAUGGACCCGCGGCGCAUUAGCUAGUUGGGGAGGUAACGGCUCACCAAGGCGACGAUGCGUAGCCGACCUGAGAGGGUGAUCGGCCACACUGGAACUGAGAACGGCCCAUACUCCUACGGGAGGCUUCAGGAGGGACUCUUAGAG
This 323-nucleotide ribosomal RNA is filed under the name Bacillus pumilus. Its description in RNAcentral is "bacterial SSU rRNA". It matches the Rfam family "Bacterial small subunit ribosomal RNA", at positions 55 to 369 of the family's 1533-position model. Lineage: Bacteria; Bacillati; Bacillota; Bacilli; Caryophanales; Bacillaceae. The record is from RNAcentral.